GAGGAAGUGGGCCUGACAGAAAAAGGAGAAGCUAGACCCCUGGACUUGAAAUAUGAAAAAUAAAAAGCGCAGCCCUUGGCUUCGCUCUCUAGUGAGGCUUUGGGAACCCUGCCGGAGUCGGAAGGAGUAGACGGAGAGAGAAAAGGGCCUCCUCACACACCCUGGACCCUUGGCCCACUCCUGCCGCGCCCCCGCCUCCCACGACUGGCACCCCCGGGCCGCCCCAAUCCUUCAGCAACCGGUCCCCUCCCCUCGCCUCCCUCCUUCUCGGGCCCCAGCUUCCUCUCUGCCUUCCGCCGCCCGCUUCUCUCGGCACACACACGGUUUCUCUCUGCUCUUCGCAAUCCCCGCUGUCUCCCCACACCGUGGAUCGAACCCUCACCGGCAUCUUGGCGGCGCCCGGGUUUCAACCCAGAGGAGCAGGAUCCAGGUACAGCGGAGCGCUUCCGGUCUGGCAGCCUGGGCGAGGUCUUCUCCAUAUUGAAUGGCAAAAUCAAUAUGCUGCAAUACAAUGUUCAUGCUUUCUUCAUCUGACUGAUCGUAAGCAGAUCCAUUUUUGUCAUGAUGUUGACUUGCGGAAUUUCUAGAGAGAUCAUGGCACUCAGGGCUGCCAAGAUGCCAGAAAUAAACUGAAGGAGGAAACAGAAAAGGGAAGAUGAACUGACUGUUGCCAACAGUUACCUGGUCUGCAUAAAGAGUCUUCUAUUCCUCACUGGAACAGAACUGGCCUAAAUAAAAGAAAUGCAAGCUGG
RNAcentral lists this long non-coding RNA (752 nucleotides) under Homo sapiens (human). RNAcentral describes it as "HSALNT0194828". Lineage: Eukaryota; Metazoa; Chordata; Mammalia; Primates; Hominidae. The record is from RNAcentral.